GCAGCCCUGGCCUGGCUUCGAGAGGGGCUCUGGGAACAGGCGGCCCCGGGUAGCUGACCACACCUGACCAGGCCAGUCUUUGGGAAGCCGCCCUCUCAGCCUAUGCACUGCAGGGACACUGGGUGGAGAGGGCUGUGCCUCAGUGCCCCUGCAGGGCGGUGCAGCAGCUGGCCGUGCAGGGGGAGGGGGCCUUGCCUUCUGGCUCAGGGAGGAAGCGGCUGCUUUCAGCUGCCUUCGCCUUGCCUCCUGAGGCGGCUUUGGAACCCUCCUGAGGUUUGUGGCCCUGAAGUUCCUUCCUGAGACCCCGCAGGGGACUAAGCCCUCGGCCCAGGGGCACCGGGGAGGGCAGAACCUCAAGACAGGGGCCCGGGACACAGGACAGAGUGUGUGGGGCAGGUGUGCAGGCUGUGCCCAAGGGGCCUCGGGGUUGAAGGGGCUCUUGGAGAUGAUGUCGACAUCGCGGUUCCUGAGCGGGUGCCCAGAUCUGGAUGAGCUGUUUUCUGGAGAAAGCAGGAAAGUGACGUCAUUUUGUGGCUUCAGAUUGACCGCAGCCUGGCAGAGAGGGAGUGGUGGCAGGAAGUGAAGCUGCUGGCUUCCCAGUCACGGCCUCCAUGAUCCACGUGUGGCAGCAAGAAUCACAGCUGCAUCAUGACACCCAGAGGGAAAGCAGCUCAAGCUGCAGUUUAAGGCGACUCCACGGAGGGCCCUGGCUUAGUUGUUGCACAGCAUGGGGUCAGAUGGAUGCCCUGGAAGAGUCAGCAGAGACCCCCUGGCCUUUGGAGUUUGUCUCUGAGCGAGAGACACUGUUGGGAUGACCGGCGAGUGGCGUUGGGUCCACAUGGGGGCCCUGGUCCGGCUGAGUCUACUGAGCACAGGCCUGCCCCUUGCCACCCAGCUCUGCCCAUAUGUGGCCGUCAUUCCUGGGCUUCACCUGGGAAACGUCCUUUGAGGCAGCUCAGCUUUUCCACAGUGGGUCACGUUGUUUGCUGCUGGAGACUGGCUGAGUCUGUGCUUCCAGUAUAGGAAGGUUUAGGAGGCGGUCAGCAGGCCUCUCCUGUGGCCACUGUGCCCGAGGCAGGUGUGCGCUGAGAACCAGGUGUGCAGAGAGAGCCAGGUGUGCACUGAGAACCAAGUGUGCAGAGUCAGGUGUGCGCUGCAGAGCCGGGUGUGCACUGAGAACCAGGUGUGCAGAGAGAGUCAGGUGUGCGCUGCAGAGCCGGGUGUGCACUGAGAACCAGGUGUGCAGAGAGAGUCAGGUGUGCGCUGCAGAGCCGGGUGUGCACUGAGUCAGGUGUGCAGAGAGUCAGGUGUACACUGCAGAGCCGCGUGUGCACUGAGAGCAGGUGUGCAUGGAGAGCCAGGUGUCUGUUGAGAACCAGGUGUGUGCAGAGAGCCAGGUGUGCACUGCAUAUCUAAGUGCUCAUGUGGAGUCUUGGGCUGGGCAGGUGCUGCCCAGGACCCUGGCUCUCUGGCUGUCUUCUGUGCAUUUGGGGAUGGGAGAAGGGGCUCGGCUCUGGCUGGAGGGCAGCCAGGCAGACUUGCCAGCCAGCACCGCCAGGUGAUAAGAGCUGGUGCCCACAGGUACUCAGCAAAUGUCUGCAUUUUGGGGAGGGCUGGAGAAAAUGAAGGCCAUGCCCUCUCUGCAAGGCUCCGCACAGGCCCUGUUUCCCAGUCCUUCAGCCACAGGGUGUCCCGGCAACAAGGGUGCCAGGUCGCCUGCACCCUGACUGUCUCCUGCGGAAAGGACAGCGCCUGCUCCUUGUCCUCCAGUAGCUGCUGGACUCCGGGGUCUGGGUGCUCUGGCGCCCGGCGGCUGGGUCCCCACUACAAGGUAGACACCAGCCUUGAAUCCAACUGUCGAGGAAAUGGGGUGGGCGGCGGAGGCUGGGGAGAUCGGGAGGAAGGGAGGUAUGGGCUUGAGAGACAGGAACCCACCCUCUGCAAGUGCAGUGGCCUGUCCCCUCCAGAACGCUCUCAUUCUUCGUGCUGAAGGGAGCUGGGGGCGUGGCAGGCCUGCGAGACGAAUGGGCGCUAUCAGCUCAGGGCUCUGCCUCGGAGGAGCCACCCGGAGGCAGCACCCAUGGGUGUGGGGGCUUGGCCACAGGGGACGUCAGGCCUCCUCGGUGCAGCACCAGAUGCGUCUAACAGCCUCCGCCCCGUGGGCGCCCACUCAGACUUGCUGCUCAGGUGCCUAGAGCAGAAGCCACCUCCUCAGAGGCCAGCGCGCCAGCCUGGCACCACGGGGACGCUCCCAGGGGGUGCCCAGAGGGAACGUGCGCAUCGGGCGGGGUACUGCGGCGCGUGUGGGCCGUGAGCCCCGCCCUGUAGUCGGACACUGGAGUCCCGGAUCCUACAGAUCUGAAAGGCUGAGUCGGAUGCAGCAAAGGCGAAGCGGGGUUCGCAGCCCCAGACUCUUGGGCGGGGGGGUCAGCGAGCAACCGGGAGGGGCGCCGCGGGCCAUUCGCCGCUUCUCCUGGGCCGAGGGCGCAGG
This 2491-nucleotide long non-coding RNA is filed under the name Homo sapiens (human). Its description in RNAcentral is "HSALNT0170617". Lineage: Eukaryota; Metazoa; Chordata; Mammalia; Primates; Hominidae. The record is from RNAcentral.